AAAAACCAUAUGACAAGAAGAGUAGUUUAGAAGAAUCUUUUUUAGAGAGCUCCGGUUGGUGAAAAGGAGCAAAGAGGCGACUAGAUGAAGAUGGCCUUGGAUGGGAUGGGUCGAUAUGAGAUCCGUACGGGAAUUCCCGUUAUAGAAUUAGAGUAUGUUUGUACUUGAUGAGUGUAUGUUUGGGUGACCAAGCAUAAAAUAAGGUGGUAACGCGAUUUAAACGUCCUUAUA
RNAcentral lists this non-coding RNA (231 nucleotides) under Anaerococcus lactolyticus. RNAcentral describes it as "T-box sequence". It matches the Rfam family "T-box leader". From Rfam's summary of the family: Uncharged tRNA acts as the effector for transcription antitermination of genes in the T-box leader family. T-boxes are found upstream of many aminoacyl-tRNA synthetase genes and some amino acid biosynthetic genes usually in Gram-positive bacteria. Lineage: Bacteria; Bacillati; Bacillota; Tissierellia; Tissierellales; Peptoniphilaceae. The record is from RNAcentral.